This 465-nucleotide ribosomal RNA is filed under the name uncultured bacterium. RNAcentral describes it as "partial 16S ribosomal RNA". It matches the Rfam family "Bacterial small subunit ribosomal RNA", at positions 338 to 795 of the family's 1533-position model. The record is from RNAcentral.
CCUACGGGGGGCUGCAGUGGGGAAUAUUGCGCAAUGGGCGAAAGCCUGACGCAGCGACGCCGCGUGAGGGAUGAAGGUCUUCGGAUCGUAAACCUCUGUCAGCAGGGAAGAACGGUCACUGUGCUAAUCAGCAGUGAAUUGACUGUACCUGCAAAGGAAGCACCGGCUAACUCCGUGCCAGCAGCCGCGGUAAUACGGAGGGUGCGAGCGUUAAUCGGAAUUACUGGGCGUAAAGCGCUCGUAGGCGGUAUGUCAAGUCAAGUGUGAAAGCCCCGCGCUCAACGUGGGAACUGCCUUUGAUACUGGCAAACUGGAGUGUGGGAGAGGUUAGUGGAAUUCCAGGUGUAGGAGUGAAAUCCGUAGAUAUCUGGAGGAACAUCAGUGGCGAAGGCGACUAUCUGGCACAUAACUGACGCUGAGGAGCGAAAGCGUGGGUAGCAAACAGGAUUAGAUACCCCAGUAGUC